GACGAACGCUGGCGGCGUGCCUAAUACAUGCAAGUAGAACGCACAGUUUAUACCGUAGCUUGCUACACCAUAAACUGUGAGUUGCGAACGGGUGAGUAACGCGUAGGUAACCUGCCUGGUAGCGGGGGAUAACUAUUGGAAACGAUAGCUAAUACCGCAUAAUAUUGAUUAUUGCAUGAUAAUUGAUUGAAAGAUGCUAUUGCAUCACUACCAGAUGGACCUGCGUUGUAUUAGCUAGUAGGUGAGGUAACGGCUCACCUAGGCGACGAUACAUAGCCGACCUGAGAGGGUGAUCGGCCACACUGGGACUGAGACACGGCCCAGACUCCUACGGGAGGCGGCAGUAGGGAAUCUUCGGCAAUGGACGAAAGUCUGACCGAGCAACGCCGCGUGAGUGAAGAAGGUUUUCGGAUCGUAAAGCUCUGUUGUAAGAGAAGAACGGGUGUGAGAGUGGAAAGUUCACACUGUGACGGUAUCUUACCAGAAAGGGACGGCUAACUACGUG
Molecule: ribosomal RNA, 505 nt
Filed under: uncultured bacterium
Lineage: Bacteria
Description: partial 16S ribosomal RNA
Rfam family: Bacterial small subunit ribosomal RNA
Source: RNAcentral